Molecule: long non-coding RNA, 409 nt
Organism: Andrographis paniculata
Lineage: Eukaryota; Viridiplantae; Streptophyta; Magnoliopsida; Lamiales; Acanthaceae
Exons: 2
Source: RefSeq, a predicted model, not a curated record
UCCAACCCUGUUUCCGGUUCGACCCGACUCACCCGACCCGAUCCAACCCAAAUCGUGCUACCCGGUAUGAUCCGUCUAAUAUCGGAUCCUUCCCUAAUCUUAUCCAUAGGGACAAAUCCAUUCUCUCUUCCGUCUGUUCUUCUGCUCCGACGAAAAUGCGAUAAGAUUUGUUGGGAUCCUCCAUUCUUGAACUUUAUCCUUCUCCCUCGGUGGUCGAUUGCAACAUCGGAAGGCUUGAAGUUGGAGCGGAGUAGACUGUGAUAUAAGCAGCUAGAUGUUUUAUUACUUCUUUCGUAUGCCAAAUUUAUAUUCACUUUCCUUUUUAGUCCGUCUGUUAAAUUUAUCUCAUUACUAAUUUUGGUAAAGUCAACAAAUCAACAUUUAAUUAUUAUAUUUCAUUCAAUACUUA